UUGAACGCUGGCGGCAUGCUUUACACAUGCAAGUCGAACGGUAACAGGGAGCUUGCUCCGCUGACGAGUGGCGAACGGGUGAGUAAUGCAUCGGAACGUGCCUAUUUGUGGGGGAUAACGUAGCGAAAGUUACGCUAAUACCGCAUACGACCUGAGGGUGAAAGCGGGGGACCGUAAGGCCUCGCGCGAUGGGAGCGGCCGAUAUCGGAUUAGCUAGUUGGUGAGGUAAAGGCUCACCAAGGCGACGAUCCGUAGCUGGUCUGAGAGGACGACCAGCCACACUGGAACUGAGACACGGUCCAGACUCCUACGGGAGGCAGCAGUGGGGAAUUUUGGACAAUGGGGGCAACCCUGAUCCAGCCAUUCCGCGUGAGUGAAGAAGGCCUUCGGGUUGUAAAGCUCUUUCGGCAGGAACGAAACGGUGGUCCUUAAUACGGGCUACUAAUGACGGUACCUGAAGAAGAAGCACCGGCUAACUACGU
This 482-nucleotide ribosomal RNA is filed under the name uncultured bacterium. Its description in RNAcentral is "bacterial SSU rRNA". It matches the Rfam family "Bacterial small subunit ribosomal RNA", at positions 30 to 506 of the family's 1533-position model. The record is from RNAcentral.